UGGCCCUGCUAUUAUUUUGUCAUAUACAUUGUUCUUAGUUCGUCCCAAUCAGGUGGCACAGAGCAAUUCUAGUAAGCUCAAUUCUAGCACUUUCUAACUGCCAGAGAGUCCCAGAAAUAAAAUGGACUGCCCUGGAAAAGAGUGAUCUCUCUAUCAGCAGAGACCAGAAGACCAGCCAGGAGGUUCUGGAAGAGGAAGGAGUGGCCCAGAAGCUCAUCUACUGUGGCCUGAACUCUUAG
This 239-nucleotide long non-coding RNA is filed under the name Rhinopithecus bieti (black snub-nosed monkey). RNAcentral describes it as "lncRNA (ENSRBIG00000045313.1)". Lineage: Eukaryota; Metazoa; Chordata; Mammalia; Primates; Cercopithecidae. The record is from RNAcentral.